This is a long non-coding RNA of Leopardus geoffroyi (Geoffroy's cat), 882 nucleotides long. RefSeq lists it as uncharacterized. NCBI's taxonomy places the organism in Eukaryota, Metazoa, Chordata, Mammalia, Carnivora, Felidae. The record is from RefSeq and is a predicted model, not a curated record. The transcript is spliced from 2 exons.
UAUGAUAUGCAUCCUGUGGGACUCCGUGAUCUCAGUGAGAAAGGAACCUUAACAGUCCUGGUGUGUCAGUGUAGGAUAUGGGAGAUGACACCUUCUGAGCUACCUUAAAGAGAGUAAAGGGCAGUUCUGGCAAUCUAGGACAAGGACAGAGGCUUGAGAGAGCAUCUGAGUCGCUAGAUGUGGUCACAGGAUGCACACACUGGUCAGGGGCAGGGGGCGGGUGGGGGAGAUGAUGGAAGCAGAUGAGGGCAGGAGAGUAGGAGGUUAAAUCACAAAGAGCCUUGAAUCUAGAAUGCCAUGGCCUGAAUGAAAGACAUCAACAACUGUGAGGCUGCCACUAAAAUUCUGAGUAGGUAAAAUCUUAAUGGAAAAGAUAGAGAAGCCAUCAAAAGAUCUGUCUUAACCUGAAAGAUAUAUGUAAAUAUAGGAAUUAAAUACAGUGACUAAAAGACAGUUCCAAGACUCAGAACUAAGCCUAUAAUUUUGACAUUACAUGCAACUGAAAGAUGCCCAGUGGCCCUCAGUCCUGAGAUAAAUUCAGAAAAACACAACUGAUUCAGGCAAAUUGAGAAAGGAUACUUCAGAAAAAGUCAAGAACCAGAAGCAGAGGGAAAGAGCUGGGGAAGAGAACCCAAAACAGAGGUGGUGGAAGAUGCCUUCCUAUGAUGAAUACAUCAAACUUUAAGUAUUUAGCAAUUUGUAUGAUGGAAAGGGACACAUACUGAAAUCUUAAUCUCAAAUAUAUCAAACUACCUUAGCCAAUUUCUUUUUCCACCUUAAACUUCAUUCCAGGAGCAUUUUUCAAAUAUGCUGCAUAUCAGAGUGAACGCAAGCUAUCUGACUGCAAAUUUGCCUCCAUAUUAAAACACUUACUCUGUUGAA